Molecule: ribosomal RNA, 915 nt
Filed under: marine metagenome
Description: bacterial SSU rRNA
Rfam family: Bacterial small subunit ribosomal RNA
Source: RNAcentral
AGAGUUUGAUCCUGGCUCAGAUUGAACGCUGGCGGUAUGCUUAACACAUGCAAGUCGAACGGCAGCAGAAGGUAGUUUACUACUGAGAUGGCGAGUGGCGGACGGGUGAGUAACGCGUAGGAAUAUGCCUUAUAGAGGGGGAUAACUUGGGGAAACUCAAGCUAAUACCGCAUAGACUUGCUUAGGUAAGGAAAGCUGGGGACUGUAAGAGGCCUGGCGCUAUAAGAUUAGCCUGCGUCCGAUUAGCUAGUUGGUGGGGUAAGGGCUUACCAAGGCGACGAUCGGUAGCUGGUCUGAGAGGAUGACCAGCCACACUGGAACUGAGACACGGUCCAGACUCCUACGGGAGGCAGCAGUGGGGAAUAUUGGACAAUGGGGGGAACCCUGAUCCAGCAAUACCGCGUGUGUGAAGAAGGCCUGCGGGUUGUAAAGCACUUUCAGUAGGGAGGAGAGUUAAUUGGUUAAGAGCUGAUUAAUGAGACGUUACCUACAGAAGAAGCACCGGCUAACUCCGUGCCAGCAGCCGCGGUAAUACGGAGGGUGCGAGCGUUAAUCGGAAUUACUGGGCGUAAAGGGUGCGUAGGUGGUGAUACAAGUUAACUGUAAAAGCCCGGGGCUCAACCUCGGAAGGUCAGUUAAGACUGUAUGACUCGAGUAAGGGAGAGGGUAGUGGAAUUUCCGGUGUAGCGGUGAAAUGCGUAGAUAUCGGAAGGAACACCGGUGGCGAAGGCGGCUACCUGGCCUAUUACUGACACUGAGGCACGAAAGCGUGGGGAGCAAACAGGAUUAGAUACCCUGGUAGUCCACGCUGUAAACGAUGUCAACUAGCUGUUGGUCAUAUAGAAGUGAUUAGUGGCGCAGCAAACGCGCUAAGUUGACCGCCUGGGGAGUACGGUCGCAAGAUUAAAACUCAAA